UAGGGAAUCUUCGGCAAUGGGGGCAACCCUGACCGAGCAACGCCGCGUGAGUGAAGAAGGUUUUCGGAUCGUAAAGCUCUGUUGUAAGUCAAGAACGGGUGUGAGAGUGGAAAGUUCACACUGUGACGGUAGCUUACCAGAAAGGGACGGCUAACUACGUGCCAGCAGCCGCGGUAAUACGUAGGUCCCGAGCGUUGUCCGGAUUUAUUGGGCGUAAAGCGAGCGCAGGCGGUUUGAUAAGUCUGAAGUUAAAGGCUGUGGCUCAACCAUAGUUCGCUUUGGAAACUGUCAAACUUGAGUGCAGAAGGGGAGAGUGGAAUUCCAUGUGUAGCGGUGAAAUGCGUAGAUAUAUGGAGGAACACCGGUGGCGAAAGCGGCUCUCUGGUCUGUAACUGACGCUGAGGCUCGAAAGCGUGGGGAGCGAACAGGAUUAGAUACCCUGGUAGUCCACGCCGUAAACGAUGAGUGCUAGGUGUUGGAUCCUUUCCGGGAUUCAGUGCCGCAGCUAACGCAUUAAGCACUCCGCCUGGGGAGUACGACCGCAAGGUUGAAACUCU
Molecule: ribosomal RNA, 557 nt
Filed under: uncultured bacterium
Lineage: Bacteria
Description: partial 16S ribosomal RNA
Rfam family: Bacterial small subunit ribosomal RNA
Source: RNAcentral